UACGUAGGUGGCAAGCGUUAUCCGGAUUUACUGGGUGUAAAGGGCGUGUAGGCGGGAAAGCAAGUCAGAUGUGAAAACCAUGGGCUCAACCUGUGGCCUGCAUUCGAAACUGUUUUUCUUGAGUACUGGAGAGGCAGACGGAAUUCCUAGUGUAGCGGUGAAAUGCGUAGAUAUUAGGAGGAACACCAGUGGCGAAGGCGGCUUACUGGACUGUAACUGACGUUGAGGCUCGAAAGCGUGGGGAGCAAACAGG
Molecule: ribosomal RNA, 253 nt
Filed under: uncultured bacterium
Lineage: Bacteria
Description: partial 16S ribosomal RNA
Rfam family: Bacterial small subunit ribosomal RNA
Source: RNAcentral